GAUGAACGCUGGCGGCGUGCUUAACACAUGCAAGUCGAACGAUGAAGCCCAGCUUGCUGGGUGGAUUAGUGGCGAACGGGUGAGUAACACGUGAGUAACCUGCCCUUAACUCUGGGAUAAGCCUGGGAAACUGGGUCUAAUACCGGAUAGGAGCGUCCACCGCAUGGUGGGUGUUGGAAAGAUUUAUCGGUUUUGGAUGGACUCGCGGCCUAUCAGCUUGUUGGUGGGGUAAUGGCUCACCAAGGCGACGACGGGUAGCCGGCCUGAGAGGGUGACCGGCCACACUGGGACUGAGACACGGCCCAGACUCCUACGGGAGGCAGCAGUGGGGAAUAUUGCACAAUGGGCGCAAGCCUGAUGCAGCGACGCCGCGUGAGGGAUGACGGCCUUCGGGUUGUAAACCGCUUUCAGUAGGGAAGAAGCGAAAGUGACGGUACCUGCAGAAGAAGCACCGGCUAACUACGUG
This 466-nucleotide ribosomal RNA is filed under the name uncultured bacterium. RNAcentral's name for it is "partial 16S ribosomal RNA". It matches the Rfam family "Bacterial small subunit ribosomal RNA", at positions 28 to 507 of the family's 1533-position model. The record is from RNAcentral.